GACGAACGCUGGCGGCGUGCCUAAUACAUGCAAGUAGAACGCUGAAGGAGGAGCUUGCUUCUCUGGAUGAGUUGCGAACGGGUGAGUAACGCGUAGGUAACCUGCCUGGUAGCGGGGGAUAACUAUUGGAAACGAUAGCUAAUACCGCAUAAGAGUAGGUGUUGCAUGACAUUUACUUAAAAGGUGCAAUUGCAUCACUACCAGAUGGACCUGCGUUGUAUUAGCUAGUUGGUGAGGUAACGGCUCACCAAGGCAACGAUACAUAGCCGACCUGAGAGGGUGAUCGGCCACACUGGGACUGAGACACGGCCCAGACUCCUACGGGAGGCAGCAGUAGGGAAUCUUCGGCAAUGGACGGAAGUCUGACCGAGCAACGCCGCGUGAGUGAAGAAGGUUUUCGGAUCGUAAAGCUCUGUUGUAAGAGAAGAACGAGUGUGAGAGUGGAAAGUUCACACUGUGACGGUAGCUUACCAGAAAGGGACGGCUAACUACGUG
This 495-nucleotide ribosomal RNA is filed under the name uncultured bacterium. Its description in RNAcentral is "partial 16S ribosomal RNA". It matches the Rfam family "Bacterial small subunit ribosomal RNA", at positions 28 to 507 of the family's 1533-position model. The record is from RNAcentral.